RNAcentral lists this ribosomal RNA (464 nucleotides) under uncultured bacterium. Its description in RNAcentral is "partial 16S ribosomal RNA". It matches the Rfam family "Bacterial small subunit ribosomal RNA", at positions 338 to 795 of the family's 1533-position model. The record is from RNAcentral.
CCUACGGGGGGCAGCAGUAGGGAAUCUUCCACAAUGGGCGAAAGCCUGAUGGAGCAACGCCGCGUGGGUGAAGAAGGUCUUCGGAUCGUAAAACCCUGUUGUUAGAGAAGUAAGUGCGUGAGAGUAACUGUUCACGUUUCGACGGUAUCUAACCAGAACGACACGGCGAACGACGUGCCAGAAGCCGCGGUAAGACGUAGGUGGCAAGCGUUAUCCGGAUUUAUUGGGCGAAAAGGGAACGCAGGCGGUCUGUUAAGUCAGCGGUAAAAGCCCGGGGGUCAACCCCGGCGAGCCGUUGAAAAUGGCGGGCUGGAGUUGGAGAGAAGUACGCGGAAUGCGCGGUGUAGCGGUGAAAUGCUUAGAUAUCGCGCAGAACCCCGAUUGCGAAGGCAGCGUACCGGCUCCACACUGACGCUGAGGCACGAAAGCGUGGGUAUCGAACAGGAUUAGAUACCCCAGUAGUC